CCCAUCUAACCCUAAUCCCCUUUCUCUCCUCCGUUCCCUCCGCCGCCACAGCUGCCCGCGCCCGAUUUCGGCGAUUGCAGCGGCUAUUGCUGGCGCGGAGCACCCCACUGAGCUCGCUUCGCUCGGGUCCAUCCUCCCCUCCGCAAGAUUUCCCCCUCCCGGCUUCUACCGCUCGCCAAAAAUCCAGUCCCGUGCUAGGGUUUUCUACUCCAGCACACCCUUCAUCGUCGGCGCAUCUCCGGCGGCCUCUGGCAGCUCUUAUUCGUCGUCUACGGCGCCCGCAGUUGUCAGUCCACCUCGAGCAGGUCGGCGUGGAGGAUCUCCUCCCGCAGGUUCCAUGGACAUGGCGCACCCUGCAGUUGCUGGUCUGGGACGAGGGCGGGCAUGGCGAGCCUUGUCUUGCUCAACGAUGAUGCCGGCGAACGCCGGUGCUCCUCCUGGUCGACCUCUAAGGAGGAGCGCCAGUACAGCAUCAGCACGCCCUGCGGCUGAACCCCCCUUCUCCACCCAUCCAGUGGCGUACAGGAUGUCAGCAAGUCCAACACCCCCUUAGCCCUACGGCCCUGCCUCCUGUCCUCUAGCUCCAACAGUUUUUAUUUACCGUUAAGGUACAUGAAUCACUCGUGGAAAUAUUCUGAUAUUUAUGUACUGACUUGGUUCUUGGGCAGGAGGAGUUAGUGCAGAAUCAAUAUCAGAACCAUCAAAAGUUCAGGAUUGGACGUGGUGUUAUUUUGUUCCAGUUUCUAGACAGAGCCAUAUAUAUAUUGGUUUAUGGGAGCAGUUUCAACCACAACGACAUGCAUUUUGAUGACUUCGGUGUGCAGCCAGAAACAUGGGAUCACCCAUAGUUGCUGUUUGAUGAGAGUUGGCCUUGCUGAUUUGGGUGGUACUGCCUGGAGAGUAGCAUAGUGUUCUUUGAGACAUGCUUGUAAAAUUAGUGUUUUCUGGGUCUUCCUUUUGCUCCUGUACUAAUAUAUUUUUGGUGUAUAUUUGUAAUUUUCUUUUUUUAGUGAAAUGAGCAUAUAUUUUUCGGCAAACUCUUAAUAGCCUGAAAUUUCCAUGGACCAAGAGAAAUGACUGAUGGGCUGAUGUCUUUGGAUUGAAAUUCGUGGGCCUUACCUGAAAUUAUUAUGGGCUGUCCCUUUUGGACACCAAGCUGAAAUAUAGUGGGCCAAAAUUUAGA
Long non-coding RNA from Triticum aestivum (bread wheat), 1183 nucleotides. RefSeq lists it as uncharacterized. The transcript has 2 exons. The record is from RefSeq and is a predicted model, not a curated record. NCBI's taxonomy places the organism in Eukaryota, Viridiplantae, Streptophyta, Magnoliopsida, Poales, Poaceae.